GACGAACGCUGGCGGCGUGCUUAACACAUGCAAGUCGAACGAAGUGGCGAACGGGUGAGUAACGCGUAAUCACCCUGCCCUUCAGAGGGGGACAACAGUUGGAACCGACUGCUAAUACCGCAUACUGAAGGGGGGGAUUUCGUCUGAUUAGCUAGUUGGAGGGGUAACGGCCCACCAAGGCGAUGAUCAGUAGACGGUCUGAGAGGAUGAACGGCCAAAUUGUGACUGGGACACGGCCCAGACUCCUACGGGAGGCAGCAGUGGGGAAGCUUCCGCAAUGGACGAAAGUCUGACGGAGCAACGCCGCGUGAGUGAUGACGGCCUUCGGGUUGUAAAGCUCUGUUAAUCGGGACGCGGUACCGGAAUAGAAAGCCACGGCUAACUACGUGCCAGCCGCCGCGGUAAUAC
This 408-nucleotide ribosomal RNA is filed under the name uncultured bacterium. Its description in RNAcentral is "partial 16S ribosomal RNA". It matches the Rfam family "Bacterial small subunit ribosomal RNA", at positions 28 to 526 of the family's 1533-position model. The record is from RNAcentral.